UACAGAGGGUGCAAGCGUUAAUCGGAAUUACUGGGCGUAAAGCGUGUGUAGGUGGUUUGCUAAGUCAGGUGUGAAAUCCCCAGGCUCAACCUGGGAACUGCAUUUGAUACUGGCAGGCUAGAGUGUGGUAGAGGAUGGUGGAAUUCCCGGUGUAGCGGUGAAAUGCGUAGAUAUCGGGAGGAACAUCAGUGGCGAAGGCGGCCAUCUGGACUAACACUGACACUGAGACACGAAAGCGUGGGGAGCAAACAGG
Molecule: ribosomal RNA, 253 nt
Filed under: uncultured bacterium
Lineage: Bacteria
Description: partial 16S ribosomal RNA
Rfam family: Bacterial small subunit ribosomal RNA
Source: RNAcentral